Molecule: transfer RNA, 68 nt
Filed under: Phryganopsyche latipennis
Lineage: Eukaryota; Metazoa; Arthropoda; Insecta; Trichoptera; Phryganopsychidae
Description: tRNA-Met
Source: RNAcentral
UAAAAAAUAAGCUAAUAAAGCUAAUGAGUUCAUACCUCAUUUAUAGAAGUUUAACCUUCUUUUUUUAA